UAGGCAUAACUCUACUUCCCUUUGGCAGA
Molecule: non-coding RNA, 29 nt
Filed under: Mus musculus (house mouse)
Lineage: Eukaryota; Metazoa; Chordata; Mammalia; Rodentia; Muridae
Source: RNAcentral